RNAcentral lists this transfer RNA (72 nucleotides) under Camelus dromedarius (Arabian camel). It matches the Rfam family "tRNA". Rfam says of the family: Transfer RNA (tRNA) molecules are approximately 80 nucleotides in length. The record is from Rfam by way of RNAcentral. RNAcentral also lists the same sequence under 1 other name. Lineage: Eukaryota; Metazoa; Chordata; Mammalia; Artiodactyla; Camelidae.
GAGGUUAUAGCUCAGUGGUAGAGUGCGUGCUUAGCAUGCACAAGGUCCUGGGUUCAAUCCCUGGUGUCGCCA